RNAcentral lists this ribosomal RNA (327 nucleotides) under uncultured eukaryote. Its description in RNAcentral is "partial 18S ribosomal RNA". It matches the Rfam family "Eukaryotic small subunit ribosomal RNA", at positions 1470 to 1796 of the family's 1831-position model. The record is from RNAcentral.
CCCUUAGAUGUUCUGGGCCGCACGCGCGCUACACUGACGAAUGCAACGAGCUUAUAACCUUGGCCGAAAGGUCUGGGUAAUCUCCAAAUUUCGUCGUGAUGGGGAUAGAUUAUUGCAAUUAUUAAUCUUCAACGAGGAAUGCCUAGUAAGCGCAAGUCAUCAGCUUGCGUUGAUUACGUCCCUGCCCUUUGUACACACCGCCCGUCGCUCCUACCGAUUGAAUGGUCCGGUGAUGCGUUCGGACCGUGGCCUUUGGACGGUUCGCCGUCUGUUGGCUGCGGGAAGUUCGUUAAACCUUAUCAUUUAGAGGAAGGAGAAGUCGUAACA